Molecule: long non-coding RNA, 1002 nt
Filed under: Astyanax mexicanus (Mexican tetra)
Lineage: Eukaryota; Metazoa; Chordata; Actinopteri; Characiformes; Acestrorhamphidae
Description: lncRNA (ENSAMXG00005003056.1)
Source: RNAcentral
GCUGAGAGUUCGCGUCUCUCCCGCUCUGCACUGUGCUGAGAGUACGCGUCUCUCCCGCUCUACACUGUGCUGAGAGUACGCGUCUCUCCCGCUCUGCACUGUGCUGAGAGUACGCAUCUCUCCCGCUCUGCCCUGUGCUGAGAGUACGCGUCUCUCCCGCUCUGCACUGUGCUGAGAGUACGCAUCUCUCCCGCUCUGCCCUGUGCUGAGAGUAUGCGUCUCUUUCGCUCUGUACAGCGGGAGAAUAUGAGACACUAUGAAUUGCCUGGGAGCAAUAAACAAUGAGCAGUGGAGCAAUACGCCAACACAUUUACCAUGAAUACCAUCAAAAAUCGACCUGAAACUGACAUUCAAUCAGCUCUGAAAAAACUUCAGAACUUAUCAUCAGGUACCCGACUCUGUAAUCAGUAUGAAGAUUUAAAGUAGAAUUUAGAAUAGAAUAUUAUUGUCUGGUUUGAGGACAGAUUGUUUCUUAUUGAAUAAGAAUAAAUCUUGUGUUUCUACAGAAUCAAAGCCUGUGGUUCUGGUGGUUCUUCAUCACACAUUUGAUCCGGAGAUAACAGUACCAGACAGCAGCAGGAGUGUGAACAGAGUAAAUACUCUCACUGUGGACUGUCUGUUUCAUGAGGAUAGAGGAUUACUGCAGUACUACAGGAACCAGGAAGCUCUGGAGAAAGUUACACACUGGAUCAAACAUCUGCAGAAGAAAGGAACUUCUGAAAUGAGAGAAGUAAAAGCAGCUACAACAGGAAAUGCAGAGUUAAUCAACAAACUUCAGAGAAAUUAUAAACUCCUCAAGCAGCUGCAGAAAAUACCAUCAAUCAAGAAAACAAUUCCAGCACAACUACUUAGUGAACUAGAAAAAGAACUGAAAGAUCAUCCUUUAUUGCUGGUUCAGAGUAUGGAUGACCAGAAGAUGUGUGUAUGCUCCUGAAAUAAUUAACUGUAUUUCCCACAAGGGCUGGGUAAAUAAAAAAAAUCUGAUCUUAUUACUGUUUUUCA